RNAcentral lists this ribosomal RNA (311 nucleotides) under uncultured bacterium. RNAcentral describes it as "bacterial SSU rRNA". It matches the Rfam family "Bacterial small subunit ribosomal RNA", at positions 775 to 1079 of the family's 1533-position model. The record is from RNAcentral.
AGUCAAUAGAUACCCGGGUAGUCCAUGCCGUAAACGAUGAUUGCUAGGUGUGGGGGGUCUGACCCCUUCCGUGCCGGAGUUAAACACAAAUAAGCAAUCCACCUGGGGAGUACGGCCGCAAGGUUGAAACUCAAAGGAAUUGACGGGGGCCCGCACAAGCAGUGGAGUAUGUGGUUUAAUUCGAAGCAACGCGAAGAACCUUACCAGGUCUUGACAUCCACCGAAUCCUGUAGAGAUACGGGAGUGCCCUUCGGGGAACGGUGAGACAGGUGGUGCAUGGUUGUCGUCAGCUCGUGUCGUGAGAUGUUGGG